GGUUGCUAUGGCUUCUGCUCCUUGAACCAGACAAUGUCUUCUACACAGUGAGGCCUUGAGCCUGACUGCGCAGUCUGAGGGCUCCCCACACGCUCGGCCUUGCUGUCAAGCACAAAAACCGUGAACUGAAAGAACAGCACAGAGAGAAUCACCACUCCCAGACGUCUGCGAGCAAUAUAUAAUUGUUGGAGCUUUUUUGUAAGUUUAAGCUCAUUUUGUUGGCAGAUAUUCUUCUCUCGUAACUGAUUAUUGUUUAAAGAUGUGUGCUGUCAUUGUAGGGAUCUGAAAGUUCAUGGUAAUGUUUUAAUUUUUUAUGUCUAAUGUAUUUUUUAGGUCUGCACUGCAGAUUCAAAUUAUUCAAACUCUAAUUAGAGUACACAUGUAGAUGACUGUACUUUAGGAACUGAAACACUAAGAUGUUGGCAUGGGUGUCACGCGAAUUAUGUGAAUUUCAAUAUCCAGACCACACAAGAUUUAAAAAUGAACAACAUUUCUCUCUUUUUAUUGGACGAGCUAAAGUCUUUGGCAGGUCUUCUGAGCAACUAGCUGUAAGGGAAUUUGCUGGAAAACACAAUGUUCUAAAAGAAUGUAUGGACACAAAACACCAGAACUACAACGCAUGCUGGCGCAGCUCCCCACCUGAACUACUACAAAUAACAUUGUCUCUUUGUAAAAACCACCAAUGACAAACGGCAAUAAUAAUCAAAACCAGACCUGCACCGAUUGUAUAUGAACAAAUUGAUAUGUGGAUAUUACCUAUAAUUUAUAUCUUAAGGGAAAAUAAAUACAUAAUGUAUAAGUGUGAAUAAAGA
Molecule: long non-coding RNA, 812 nt
Filed under: Lepisosteus oculatus (spotted gar)
Lineage: Eukaryota; Metazoa; Chordata; Actinopteri; Semionotiformes; Lepisosteidae
Description: lncRNA (ENSLOCG00000021181.1)
Source: RNAcentral